GGACCACCCUAAAGAUCAUGUUUACCACCUCUAACUAGAGGAACCAUCGCCUUAAUAGGCUAAACACUCUAUAUUGUAGGCAUAGCUAUCGAAUGAUGGGGACUCUCUAUAAAAAAAUAGCUGAAAGCCCCAAAAUUAUAAAAUGGCCCAAGAAAUGCACUGUAUCUAGAAGAUCUUGCUAACCCAUAAUAACCAUCUCAACUAAAAAACCCUAAAAACAAACCUCUUGAAGGCCAACCAUCGC
RNAcentral lists this long non-coding RNA (244 nucleotides) under Capsicum annuum. Its description in RNAcentral is "long non-coding RNA (CANN_LNC012444)". The record is from RNAcentral. Lineage: Eukaryota; Viridiplantae; Streptophyta; Magnoliopsida; Solanales; Solanaceae.